CGUGCUUAACACAUGCAAGUCGAACGAGAACGGAUAUUAGCUUGCUAAUAUUGUCAGCUAAGUGGCGCACGGGUGAGUAAUAUAUAGUUAAUCUGCCUUAGAGAUAGGAAUAAUUGUUGGAAACGACUUGUAACUCCUAAUAUGCCUUUAAUACAUAAGUAUGCAAGGGAAACAUUUAUGGCUCUAAGAUGAGACUGUACAGUAUCAGAUAGUUGGUGGGGUAAUGGCCUACCAAGUCAAUGACGCUUAACUGGUUUGAGAGGAUGAUCAGUCACACUGGAACUGAGACACGGUCCAGACUCCUACGGGAGGCAGCAGUGGGGAAUAUUGCACAAUGGACGAAAGUCUGAUGCAGCAACGCCGCGUGGAGGAUGACACAUUUCGGUGCGUAAACUCCUUUUAUAUGAGAAGAUAAUGACGGUAUCAUAUGAAUAAGCACCGGCUAACUUCGUGCCAGCAGCCGCAGUAAUACGAGGGGUGCAAGCGUUACUCGGAAUCACUGGGCGUAAAGAGAAUGUAGGCGGUUAAUUAAGUUAGAAGUGAAAUCCUAUGGCUCAACCAUAGAACUGCUUCUAAAACUGAUUAACUAGAAUAUGGGAGAGGUAGAUGGAAUUUCUGGUGUAGGGGUAAAAUCCGUAGAGAUCAGAAGGAAUACCGAUUGCGAAGGCGAUCUACUGGAACAUUAUUGACGCUCAGAUUCGAAAGCGUGGGGAGCAAACAGGAUUAGGUACCCUGGUAGUCCACGCCCUAAACGAUGUACACUAGUUGUGCUAUGCUCGACAUAGCAGUAAUGCACCUAACGGAUUAAGUGUACCGCCUGGGGAGUACGGUCGCAAGAUUAAAACUCAAAGGAAUAGACGGGGACCCGCACAAGCGGUGGAGCAUGUGGUUUAAUUCGACGAUACGCGAAGAACCUUACCUGGCCUUGACAUAGAUAGAAUAUAGCAGAGAUGUAAUAGUGCUAGUUUACUAGAACUAUCAUACAGGUGCUGCACGGCUGUCGUCAGCUCGUGUCGUGAGAUGU
Molecule: ribosomal RNA, 1024 nt
Filed under: uncultured bacterium
Lineage: Bacteria
Description: bacterial SSU rRNA
Rfam family: Bacterial small subunit ribosomal RNA
Source: RNAcentral